GAGGCCAUAGCUCAGUUGGUUAGAGCACCUGCCUUUUAAGCAGGGUGUCCUGGGUUCGAGACCCAGUGGCCUCACCA
Molecule: transfer RNA, 77 nt
Filed under: Candidatus Saccharimonadota bacterium
Lineage: Bacteria; Candidatus Saccharimonadota
Description: tRNA-Lys
Rfam family: tRNA
About the family: Transfer RNA (tRNA) molecules are approximately 80 nucleotides in length.
Source: RNAcentral